CCUACGGGGGGCUGCAGUGGGGAAUAUUGCACAAUGGGCGCAAGCCUGAUGCAGCCAUGCCGCGUGUGUGAAGAAGGCCUUCGGGUUGUAAAGCACUUUCAGCGGGGAGGAAGGCGGUGAGGUUAAUAACCUCAUCGAUUGACGUUACCCGCAGAAGAAGCACCGGCUAACUCCGUGCCAGCAGCCGCGGUAAUACGGAGGGUGCAAGCGUUAAUCGGAAUUACUGGGCGUAAAGCGCACGCAGGCGGUCUGUCAAGUCGGAUAUGAAAUCCCCGGGCUCAACCUGGGAACUGCAUUCGAAACUGGCAGGCUAGAGUCUUGUAGAGGGGGGUAGAAUUCCAGGUGUAGCGGUGAAAUGCGUAGAGAUCUGGAGGAAUACCGGUGGCGAAGGCGGCCCCCUGGACAAAGACUGACGCUCAGGUGCGAAAGCGUGGGGAGCAAACAGGAUUAGAUACCCGAGUAGUC
RNAcentral lists this ribosomal RNA (465 nucleotides) under uncultured Klebsiella sp. RNAcentral's name for it is "bacterial SSU rRNA". It matches the Rfam family "Bacterial small subunit ribosomal RNA", at positions 338 to 795 of the family's 1533-position model. The record is from RNAcentral. Lineage: Bacteria; Pseudomonadati; Pseudomonadota; Gammaproteobacteria; Enterobacterales; Enterobacteriaceae.